GGGGUAACGGCCUACCAAGGCGACGAUACGUAGCCGACCUGAGAGGGUGAUCGGCCACACUGGAACUGAGACACGGUCCAGACUCCUACGGGAGGCAGCAGUAGGGAAUCUUCCGCAAUGGGCGAAAGCCUGACGGAGCAACGCCGCGUGAGUGAUGAAGGUCUUCGGAUCGUAAAGCUCUGUUGUUAGGGAAGAACAAAUGUGUAAGUAACUGUGCACAUCUUGACGGUACCUAACCAGAAAGCCACGGCUAACUACGUGCCAGCAGCCGCGGUAAUACGUAGGUGGCAAGCGUUAUCCGGAAUUAUUGGGCGUAAAGCGCGCGUAGGCGGUUUUUUAAGUCUGAUGUGAAAGCCCACGGCUCAACCGUGGAGGGUCAUUGGAAACUGGAAAACUUGAGUGCAGAAGAGGAAAGUGGAAUUCCAUGUGUAGCGGUGAAAUGCGCAGAGAUAUGGAGGAACACCAGUGGCGAAGGCGGCUUUCUGGUCUGCAACUGACGCUGAUGUGCGAAAGCGUGGGGAUCAAACAGGAUUAGAUACCCUGGUAGUCCACGCCGUAAACGAUGAGUGCUAAGUGUUAGGGGGUUUCCGCCCCUUAGUGCUGCAGCUAACGC
RNAcentral lists this ribosomal RNA (613 nucleotides) under Staphylococcus pseudintermedius. RNAcentral's name for it is "bacterial SSU rRNA". It matches the Rfam family "Bacterial small subunit ribosomal RNA", at positions 254 to 858 of the family's 1533-position model. The record is from RNAcentral. Lineage: Bacteria; Bacillati; Bacillota; Bacilli; Caryophanales; Staphylococcaceae.